RNAcentral lists this ribosomal RNA (1299 nucleotides) under Triticum aestivum (bread wheat). Its description in RNAcentral is "partial small subunit ribosomal RNA". Lineage: Eukaryota; Viridiplantae; Streptophyta; Magnoliopsida; Poales; Poaceae. The record is from RNAcentral.
AUGAACGGCAAGAGCAAGAAGAGCAAGGGCACGCCAUUGCUGGGCAAGUACGAGCUCGGGCGACUGCUCGGCCGCGGCACGUUCGCCAAGGUGUACUUCGCGCACCCGGUCACUGGCGGUGAGCCAGUGGCAGUGAAGGUGAUCGACAAGGCGGAGGUGAUGGGCAUGGAGGGCAUGGCGCCUCGCGUGCUCCGGGAGGUGGUGGCCAUGCGCCGGCUUCGCCACCCGGGCGUGCUCCGCCUCCACGAGGUGCUCGCCACGCGCUCCAGGAUCUAUCUCGUCAUGGAGCUAGCCCCCCGUGGCGACCUCCAGUCCAUGCUCGCCGCUCUACCAAACCGCCGCUUUUCGGAGAAGGCCGCGCGGCGCGUGUUCGUCCAGCUCACGGCGGCGCUUGCCCACUGCCACGCGCGCGGUGUGACGCACCGCGACGUCAAGCCGCAAAACGUCCUCCUCGACAGCGCCGGCAACCUUAAGGUGUCCGACUUCGGCCUAUCGGCGCUCCCAGACACGCUUCGGGACGACGGCCGCCUCCACACCGCCUGCGGCACGCCGGCCUAUGCCGCGCCGGAGGUGCUCCGCCACACAUCAUACGACGGCGCCAAGGCCGACGCGUGGUCCUGUGGCGUCAUGCUCUUCGUCCUCCUCGCCGGACGCCUGCCCUUCGACGACGCGAACAUCCCCGAUAUGUGCCGAAAGGCGCACCGCCGUGACUACGAGGUCCCGCCGUGGGUAUCCCCGCCGGCGCGCCGCCUGGUGCACCGCCUGCUCGACCCGAACCCGGCGACCCGCGUCUCCGUGGAGGCUCUGGCGGCGACGCACCCAUGGUUCGUCAAGCGCUCCCUCAGCCUCGACUCGCAGCUCGACGGCCUCCUCGACGGCCAGCCAGAGCGCGCGCUGGCGUUCCGGGCGCCGGCGGUGAACGCAUUCGACAUCAUAUCCAUGUCGCAAGGGCUCGACCUGUCCGGGCUGUUCGGCGGGAGCAAGAGCAGGGAGAAGCGGUUCAUGACGACAGCGUCGCCGGAGCAGACGCUGGAGCAGCUCAGCCGGGCGAGCGGGAAGCUCGGGUACGUCGUGGUGGGGAAGAAAGGAGUGGGGUGCCAGCGCCGUCCUCCAGGGAGGCCGGCAAUAUCAGUGGGGAUUUCGGAGCUGGUGCCGCCACUAAUGCUCGUCGAGAUGCGGCUGGAGAUGGACGACGGCGACGGCGAGGUUCAAGUGUUUGGUUGGGAUCAGUUGAGGGUGGAGCUAGGGGAUGUAGUAAGGGCUUGGCAUAGCUGUGAAGAUUUGCAACAAGUUCAGUAA